UUGCCCGGGGAUCGCCCCCCGUCAGCGCGGAUGCGCCCACGGGGGCAAAUGGU
This 53-nucleotide small RNA is filed under the name Paracoccus chinensis. RNAcentral describes it as "ffh sRNA". It matches the Rfam family "ffh sRNA". Lineage: Bacteria; Pseudomonadati; Pseudomonadota; Alphaproteobacteria; Rhodobacterales; Paracoccaceae. The record is from RNAcentral.